This 555-nucleotide ribosomal RNA is filed under the name uncultured bacterium. RNAcentral describes it as "partial 16S ribosomal RNA". It matches the Rfam family "Bacterial small subunit ribosomal RNA", at positions 355 to 902 of the family's 1533-position model. The record is from RNAcentral.
UGGGGAAUUUUGGACAAUGGGCGCAAGCCUGAUCCAGCAAUGCCGCGUGCAGGAUGAAGGCCUUCGGGUUGUAAACUGCUUUUGUACGGAACGAAAAGCCUCUCUCUAAUACAGGGGGUGAUAACGGUACCGUAAGAAUAAGCACCGGCUAACUACGUGCCAGCAGCCGCGGUAAUACGUAGGGUGCAAGCGUUAAUCGGAAUUACUGGGCGUAAAGCGUGCGCAGGCGGUUUUGUAAGACAGUGGUGAAAUCCCCGGGCUCAACCUGGGAACUGCCAUUGUGACUGCAAGGCUGGAGUGCGGCAGAGGGGGGAUGGAAUUCCGCGUGUAGCAGUGAAAUGCGUAGAUAUGCGGAGGAACACCGAUGGCGAAGGCAAUCCCCUGGGCCUGCACUGACGCUCAUGCACGAAAGCGUGGGGAGCAAACAGGAUUAGAUACCCUGGUAGUCCACGCCCUAAACGAUGUCAACUGGUUGUUGGGGAUUUAUUUCUUCAGUAACGAAGCUAACGCGUGAAGUUGACCGCCUGGGGGAGUACGGCCGCAAGGUUAAAACUC